Cyprinus carpio (common carp) is the source of this 1541-nucleotide long non-coding RNA. RefSeq lists it as uncharacterized. NCBI's taxonomy places the organism in Eukaryota, Metazoa, Chordata, Actinopteri, Cypriniformes, Cyprinidae. The record is from RefSeq and is a predicted model, not a curated record.
CAAAUAUGACUUAUAAAGAAAAUAAAUAUUAUGAAAAAGUGCUAAAAAUUCCAUACUUUUCUUCUAAUUUUAAAUCAAAGAAAAAUUUUGAUUAUAUCUUAGAAAAAUUAAAACCUACAUUCGAUGGUAUGCUAAUCAAAGAAGGGAAAAUUUAUUAUAAUAAUGUCAACAACAGAAAUGUAACUUAUACAUCACCUUGUUAUAUUUUAAUUUGGGAUUCUGAUCGUCGUAUUUUUAGCCGAGGUCUCGGGUUUUAUAUUGGAUCUGGAGUUAUAAUUACAGCCAAACAUGUUUUAAAGGCAUACAAAAAUAAAAACGUAUUUGUUCUUUUCCCAAAUAAAAUGUUUUAUUUAGCCUACAGUAUUAAUACUGAUAACAUCUAUUUUGACAAUGAUUAUGAUAUUGCUAGAGUUAAAUUGGAAAUCAGUUUUGAUAAACUACCAAAUAUAAAACCUGUAGAAAUAGACUUAUGAAAUGAAAACAAAAAUCUUUAUUUUUACAAACUAAAAGCAGGGCGUUUUGUUAAAGUGAAAUGUAAAAAAACUAAAGAAUUAAAUCUUAAAGAAUUUACUCUUUCUAAAACGGGAAAUGAUGGAGAUAGCGGGACCCCUAUUUUUACAAGUUCUGGUAAAUGUGUUGCAAUGUAUAUUGGUGCAUUUACAAAAACAAACAGAAAAUGUAUACUUGGCAUAGGUUUACAAUUUGAUAGUUCUUUAAAGACAUCUCUUCAUUGAAUUUUCCUCUGUAGUUUAUAAUAUUCUAAUGCUUUAAAAAAAAAAAAAUCUCUUUUUCAUCACUGUUUCUCAACCCUGCUCCAAUUUCCCAAGCUCACUAAUGAGCUGGCUAAUUUUAUAGUGAGCGGGGAAGCAAAAAACAGGGUCACCAGGGGCAGGAUUGAGAAACACUGUAUCCCAUCAACAUAAAUUUGGAAGUGCAAAAAUGCUGUAACACAAUUGGCAUGGUUACAGUACCAUAAAGUGCUAAAUAUUUCCCAUUGUUUGGCUGUCUGGAGAGGAUCUUGUGCCUUGCCCAAAACAAAAUCUUGUGUCUUGUCGGUAUGGAGCUGGACUAUUGUUACAGAUGUUGCAGGAGCAGCUCUGAAAGUCAUCUGUUUCAAGAAGCACCUCCAGACUGCAUAUGUCACAUUUGGGUCAAGUUACAAUCUUUUUCCUCUCCAUAAAAUGGUGGUGGCCCGGACUCACUUGAUCAAAAGAGACGCAACAAUAUGUUGAAACAGGGCAUAGUAAGCACAACACCCUUACGCCAUUGCUCGGUGUCAUGUUGAACCACCUUUGGAUGACACGCGUCACUUUUGGGUCAAAAGAUAUUCCUCAUGAUAUUGAAGAUAGUUCUAUUCCUCAUGAUAUUGAAGAUAUUUCUAUUCCUCAUGAUAUUGAAGAUAUUUCUAUUCCUCAUGAUAUUGAAGAUAUUUCUAUUCCUCAUGAUAUUGAAAAUAUUCAUCAUGAUACUGAAGAUAUUCCUCAUGAAGUUAUUCCUCAUGAAGUUACUUUCUAAAUAAACAAAAUGAGAUUCUAAAUAAA